GACGAACGCUGGCGGCGUGCUUAACACAUGCAAGUCGAACGGAAAGGCCCUGCUUUUGUGGGGUGCUCGAGUGGCGAACGGGUGAGUAACACGUGAGUAACCUGCCCUUGACUUUGGGAUAACUUCAGGAAACUGGGGCUAAUACCGGAUAGGAGCUCCUGCUGCAUGGUGGGGGUUGGAAAGUUUCGGCGGUUGGGGAUGGACUCGCGGGUUAUCCGCUUGUUGGUGGGGUAGUGGCUUACCAAGGCUUUGACGGGUAGCCGGCCUGAGAGGGUGACCGGCCACAUGGGGACUGAGAUACGGCCCAGACUCCUACGGGAGGCAGCAGUGGGGAAUAUUGCGCAAUGGGCGGAAGCCUGAUGCAGCAACGCCGCGUGCGGGAUGACGGCCUUCGGGUUGUAAACCGCUUUCGCCUGUGACGAAGCGUGAGUGACGGUAAUGGGUAAAGAAGCACCGGCUAACUACGUG
RNAcentral lists this ribosomal RNA (468 nucleotides) under uncultured bacterium. Its description in RNAcentral is "partial 16S ribosomal RNA". It matches the Rfam family "Bacterial small subunit ribosomal RNA", at positions 28 to 507 of the family's 1533-position model. The record is from RNAcentral.